RNAcentral lists this RNase P RNA (355 nucleotides) under Prolixibacteraceae bacterium JC049. Its description in RNAcentral is "RNase P RNA component class A". It matches the Rfam family "Bacterial RNase P class A". Rfam says of the family: Ribonuclease P (RNase P) is a ubiquitous endoribonuclease, found in archaea, bacteria and eukarya as well as chloroplasts and mitochondria. Its best characterised activity is the generation of mature 5'-ends of tRNAs by cleaving the 5'-leader elements of precursor-tRNAs. The record is from RNAcentral. Lineage: Bacteria; Pseudomonadati; Bacteroidota; Bacteroidia; Marinilabiliales; Prolixibacteraceae.
AUAGUAGGUUACUCUAUCGCUGCUUUCUUCGGAAAGGAGAGGAAAGUCCGGGCAACACAGGGUGCCAUGCUUCCUAACGGGAAGAUCUGCGCGAGCGGAUAGUAGUGUAACAGAGAAUAACCGCCACUUUGUGGUAAGGGUGAAAAGGUGAGGUAAGAGCUCACCGGUCUCGGUGGUGACACCGGGAGCCGUACGCCUCAUGGGUUGCAAGACCAAAUAUACCGGCAGUUAAAGAACGCACCCGUUCAAUGUCGGGGGGUAGGUUGCUAGAGGUUGCAGGCGACUGUAAUCGUAGAUAAAUGAUAGGGCGCUGCUUUGCAGCUGACAGAACCCGGCUUAUCGAUCUACUAUUUUU